RNAcentral lists this ribosomal RNA (297 nucleotides) under uncultured Anoxybacillus sp. RNAcentral describes it as "partial 16S ribosomal RNA". It matches the Rfam family "Bacterial small subunit ribosomal RNA", at positions 1084 to 1382 of the family's 1533-position model. Lineage: Bacteria; Bacillati; Bacillota; Bacilli; Caryophanales; Anoxybacillaceae. The record is from RNAcentral.
GUCCGCAACGAGACGCAACCCUCGACCUUAGUUGCCAGCAUUCAGUUGGGCACUCUAAGGUGACUGCCGGCUAAAAGUCGGAGGAAGGUGGGGAUGACGUCAAAUCAUCAUGCCCCUUAUGACCUGGGCUACACACGUGCUACAAUGGGCGGUACAAAGGGUCGCGAACCCGCGAGGGGGAGCCAAUCCCAAAAAGCCGCUCUCAGUUCGGAUUGCAGGCUGCAACUCGCCUGCAUGAAGCCGGAAUCGCUAGUAAUCGCGGAUCAGCAUGCCGCGGUGAAUACGUUCCCGGGCCUU